RNAcentral lists this ribosomal RNA (576 nucleotides) under uncultured Sebacinales. Its description in RNAcentral is "eukaryotic LSU rRNA". It matches the Rfam family "Eukaryotic large subunit ribosomal RNA", at positions 73 to 621 of the family's 3401-position model. The record is from RNAcentral. Lineage: Eukaryota; Fungi; Basidiomycota; Agaricomycetes; Sebacinales.
GAUUCCCCUAGUAACGGCGAGUGAAGAGGGAAAAGCUCAAAUUUUGAAUCUGGUGCCUUUGGCAUCCGAGUUGUAAUCUAGAGAAGUGUUUUUUGCCUUGGACCACACAUAAAUUCCCUGGAAUGGGGUGUCAUAGAGGGUGAGAAUCCCGUUUGUGGUGUGGACUACCUUGGCUAUGUAAUACACUCUCAACGAGUCGAGUUGUUUGGGAAUGCAGCUCAAAAUGGGUGGUAAAUUCCAUCUAAAGCUAAAUACUGGCGAGAGACCGAUAGCGAACAAGUACCGUGAGGGAAAGAUGAAAAGCACUUUGGAAAGAGAGUGAAACAGUACGUGAAAUUGUUGAAAGGGAAGCGUUUGAAGUCAGUCACAUUGGUCAGAAUUCAGCCUGGCUUCUGCCUGGUUCACUUUUUGGCAAAUGGGUCAGCAUCAAUUUUGAUUGAGGGAGAAAGACUUGAGGAAUGUGGCUGUCUUCGGACAGUGUUAUAGCCUCUUGUUGUAUGUCUCAAUUGGGAUUGAGGAAUGCAGCACGCCUUAUGGCCGGGGUUGGCCCUCGGUACGUGCUUAGGAUGUGACAAA